Molecule: ribosomal RNA, 448 nt
Filed under: uncultured bacterium
Lineage: Bacteria
Description: SSU rRNA
Rfam family: Bacterial small subunit ribosomal RNA
Source: RNAcentral
AGGAUGAACGCUGGCGGUCUGCUUAACACAUGCAAGUCGAACGGAGUAGCAAUACUUAGUGGCGGACGGGUGAGUAACGCGUGAGAAUCUACCUUCAGGACGGAGACAACAGUUGGAAACGACUGCUAACCCCCGAUGUACCGAAAGGGCAAAUAUUUAUAGCCUGAAGAAGAGCUCGCGUCCGAUUAGCUAGUUGGAGAGGUAAAAGCUCACCAAGGCGACGAUCGGUAGCUGGUCUGAGAGGACGAUCAGCCACACUGGGACUGAGACACGGCCCAGACUCCUACGGGAGGCAGCAGUGGGAAUUUCCGCAAUGGGCGAAAGCCUGACGGAGCAAGACCGCGUGGGGGAAGAAGGCUCUUGGGUUGUAAACCCCCUUUUCUCUUGGGAAGAACGCAAUGACGGUACCAGAGGAAUCAGCAUCGGCUAACUCCGUGCCAGCAGCCGC